UAAUAAAGUUAAUCUUCAAAAAUGUGAAAUAUGCCUUUAGUGUUAGCUUCUAUUGACGGAUUGAGCGGCCAAUGGCUGGCGCGGUCUGGUUUCGCGUCGGCCAAUGGGGUUGAUCGUCCCGCCCCUUUUUCAACAGCUGACGGUUGAUUCGUUCGGAGCGCGGCAGACAGGCUUGAGAGCUAACAGCUGACGGUUGUUUCCGUAAAGAGCUAGUAAGAAAUUGACGAAUCUGGAAAUUGAUCUCGGAGGGUUUCCCCCAUGAACAACUGAAGCCCGAAAAAUAGCCGUUGACGGCUCGGAGCAUCGGUGAGUCAUCGCACGCGCUCGGCAGUUGGGUCAGGUUUUUGGAGCUUGUAUGAUUCACUUUUGGCCUGGAGGGCCAGAGAUUCUCCUGAACCUGGAUGGAGCCCCAGCCCAGAGGACCAGGCGCACGGGUAGAUAGUGACCCGACUGGUCACCAGCUGAGAGACUUUGAGAAGAAUUGAUUCAUUGGAGACUGAAGUAUUCAAUUUAUUUAUUUAUUAUUUUUUUAAAGUGCGCAGUAUUUGUUUGUCUGUUUUA
This is a long non-coding RNA of Gambusia affinis (western mosquitofish), 561 nucleotides long. RefSeq lists it as uncharacterized. The record is from RefSeq and is a predicted model, not a curated record. NCBI's taxonomy places the organism in Eukaryota, Metazoa, Chordata, Actinopteri, Cyprinodontiformes, Poeciliidae. The transcript is spliced from 3 exons.